ACUUAGGGGAACUCUGGGUGCACUUCUUCGCUUGGCAGGUCAACGUCGAUUUUGAAUGUCAUAAAAUAAUUGGGGGAAGGUAGCUCCUUCGGGAGUGUUAUAGCCCUUGAUAGAUGUGAUGUUUGGGGUCGAGGAUUGCAACGGAUACCCUUCGGGGCUAGCCGCCUGAUCUCUAAUUGGUGUUGGGUUACGGAUAGCAUGCUGACCGUGAUCUAAUUACUGGUUAAAAGGUUAGAGUGUGCAUAAAUUCCC
This 252-nucleotide ribosomal RNA is filed under the name Gigaspora margarita. RNAcentral's name for it is "partial 28S ribosomal RNA". The record is from RNAcentral. Lineage: Eukaryota; Fungi; Glomeromycota; Glomeromycetes; Diversisporales; Gigasporaceae.